Molecule: ribosomal RNA, 92 nt
Filed under: Bacillus altitudinis
Lineage: Bacteria; Bacillati; Bacillota; Bacilli; Caryophanales; Bacillaceae
Description: partial 23S ribosomal RNA
Rfam family: Bacterial large subunit ribosomal RNA
Source: RNAcentral
AUCCCUGAAAGAUGAUCAGGUUGAUAGGUCUGAGGUGGAAGCGUGGUGACACGUGGAGCUGACAGAUACUAAUAGAUCGAGGACUUAACCUA